This 4164-nucleotide unclassified non-coding RNA is filed under the name Hevea brasiliensis (rubber tree). Lineage: Eukaryota; Viridiplantae; Streptophyta; Magnoliopsida; Malpighiales; Euphorbiaceae. The record is from RNAcentral.
UUGCUCAGCUUGUCUACAAUGACAUAAGAGUGCAAGAUUUUGAAGUCAAAGCGUGGGUCUGUGUUUCAGACGAACUUGAUGUUUUUAAGGUAACAAAAGAUGUCCUUAUGGAGGUUACUUCAUUAACUUGUGAAAACAAGACUUUAAAUCAGCUUCAACUUGAGCUAAAGGAAAGAUUGAAGGGGAAAAGAUUUUUGCUUGUUUUAGAUGAUGUUUGGAGUGUUAAGUAUACUGACUGGGAAAUUUUGCAGAAGCCUUUUAUGUCUGGGGCUCAAGGAAAUAGGAUUGUUAUUACAACACGCAUUGAUCAUGUGGCAUCAACCAUGCAAACUGUUCCAGCCCUCCAUCUAAAGGGAUUAACUGAUAAGGAUUGUUGGUCCUUGUUUGCAAAACUUGUAUUUGAUGAUGAAAAUUCUAGCACACAUCCAGAUUUGGAAGUAAUUGGUAGAGAAAUAGUGAGUAAGUGCAAAGGUUUACCUUUAGCUGCAAAAGCUCUUGGGGGUCUUUUACGCUCCAAGAGGGAUGUUGAGGAAUGGGAGAAGAUAUCGAAGAGCAGUUUGUGGAAUUCAUCAAAUGAUGACAUUCUUCCAGCUUUAAGAUUGAGUUACCUUUAUCUUCCAUCACAUCUAAAACGAUGCUUCGCUUACUGUGCAAUAUUUCCUAAAGAUCAUGAAUUUGAAAAGGAGGAAUUGGUCCAUUUAUGGAUGGCAGAGGGUUUCUUAGUUCCUUCCCCUGCAGAUAAAGAGAUGGAAGAAGUAGGUGAUGAGUACUUUUGUGAUCUUGUAUCAAGAUCAUUUUUUCAACGGUCAAGUGGCCAUCACUCGUACUUCAUUAUGCAUGACCUGAUAAAUGACUUGGCUAAGCAAGUAUCUGGAGAGUUUUGCUGUAGGUUGGAUGGUGAUGAUUCAUGCAAGAUUACUAGAAGGACUCGCCAUUUAUCAUAUGUUGGAACAGAAUAUGAUUCUGGUAUGAUAUUUGACGGCAUCUAUGAAGCCCAAUUUUUGCGUACAUUUAUACUUAUGGAGUGGUCAUGCAUUGAUAAUGAGGUAAUGCAUGAUUUAUUGCUGAAAUUCAGGCAAUUACGAGUACUCUCUCUCUCUCAAUAUCGUAGUGUAACUGCAUUGCCUGAGUCAAUUGGCUACUUGAAGCAUUUACGAUAUCUAAAUCUCUCUACAGCAUCAGUAAAAAGGUUGCCUGAGAUUCUGAGUACUUUGUAUAAUUUGCAAACGUUGAUCUUGCGUGAGUGCAUAUACCUUGCUGUGUUGCCUGAUUCUAUUGGAAAUUUGAAGUAUUUACGAUACUUGGAUCUCUCAGGAACAUUGAUCAGAAGGUUACCUGAAUCUCUGAGUGGCUUGUUCUAUUUGCAAACGUUAAUCUUUUGUCAAUGCCAAGAUCUCAUUGAGCUGGCAACCAACAUGUCAAGGUUAAUCAACUUGCAGCGUCUGGAUAUUAGAGGAACAUAAUUGCAAGAGAUGCCACCACAAAUGAGUGAGUUAAACAAUCUCCGUAUAUUAAUUACUUUCAUUGUAAGAAGACAGUGUGGGUCUAACAUAAAGGAAUUAGGCAAACUUCAGCAUCUGCAAGAAAAACUUUGUAUUUGGAAUCUUGAAAAUAUUGUGGAUGCUGAACAAGCUUUGGAAAUUGGAAGCCAAUUUAAUGGGUAAGAGACACCACAAGGUGUUGGAGGUGAGAUGGAACAAUGAUACUGAUAAUUCAGCACUUGAAAGAGGUGUGCUUGAGCAAUUACAACCUCAUGCAAAUGUGGAAUCUUUUUCAAUUGUUGGUUAUUGGAGUGAUGGAUUUAUGGAUUGGAGAAGAGAUUCUUCUUUCUCAAGCAUAGUAUGCUUGAAUCUUUGUGGAUGUAAAUACUGCUUCUGUUUACCACCACUUGGGCAGAUAGCAUCUAUGGAAUUGAGGUUGUUAGUCCUGCAUUCUAUGGAAAUUGCACUUCUAUGGUGAAUCCAUAUAGGUCCCUCAAAAUCCAGAAGUUUGAAAGGAUGCCAAAAUGGCAUAAAUGGAUUCCUUGUAUAGACAAAGAUGAAAGUAGACUUUUCCCUGUCCUCCAAAAGCAUUACAUAAGAGAAUGUCCCAACAUAUCGACAGUCUUGCCCAGUCACCUUCUUUAACAACACUUGAGAUUGAGUGAUGCCUGCAGCUUGUGCUUUCACUUCCAAGGACUACAGUGAUCAUUAAAAUAAAGUUAAAAGAAUGAUUCUUAUGAUGUGCUAAUAAAGAAAUUGCCUUUAGAGCUGCAGUCUUAUAGAUUACAACUUCUACUCUUUAGAUUUCAUAUUGGAUACAAUUGGUAGUUUUUUCACUGUUUCAGAAGAAAUUGAAAUGAUAAACCAUGAUUCACUCAAAUGCUUCCCGCUAGACUUGUUUCCAAGGUUAAAGAGUCUAUGCAUCACUAAAUGUCGCAUGCUUGAAUCCCUUACUACACCUGAGACAACUCAUGAGAAUUGCACAUCUCUUAGUUCCUAGGAGAUCAGGGAGUGUCCUAAUUUAGUAUUGUUUCUCAAAGGAAGCUUACCUGCCCCAAAUUUGGCUCAGCUUCUAUUGCUAGGUUGCUCAAAUGUGGAAAUCUUCCCUGAAAUGAUAAUACCGCCUUCCAGUUUUACCUCUCUUAAAUUUUGGGAUUUUCAAAAUCUGAAAUUUCUGGACUAGAAUGGACUUCAACAUCUCACCACUCUGAAAGAAAUAGAGAUCUGUAACUGUCGUAAGCUCCAAUCCUUGCCAGAAGAGAGGCUGCCCUCUUCACUUUCUUCUCCUUUUGUCUUUAUAUGUCUCAUGCUGGAACAGAGGUGUCGAAGGGAGCAAGGGGAAGAUUGGGGCAAGAUUUCUUACAUAUCACAUAUGAAAGUUAAUUUCCACAAGAUCAAUUGACCCAAAAACUAGAUGAGUCACUCUUCUUAUGUUCAUUCAACACGAUGACAGGUGAUGCUAAUCAAAAGUUUCUUUGCAUCAAUCACAAUUUUGGACUAACAUCUCCACGUUUCUUCUUAAUUCUUUGUGAUUUUAUUGCCAGGCUCUUGAUCCAUUUUCUUUUGUCCAUUUGAGGCUCCUAAUUUUGAUCUAUGCCAACUCAAUUUUGCUUGUCAACUAUGAAAACAGGACUGAAAUUUUGCAUGUAAAUUGCACUUGUUUCUACUGCAUGUUUCAUCUUGUUAUUCUGUAGAGCUGCCAGGUGGUCUGGUUUUUCCAAGUGCUUCUUGUUCCUGGCUCUAAAGAGACAGAAAUGUUAAAGGAUAUGCAUAGUUUUGUUAUGUUAGAAAUUUAUUGAAUGGAUUGUGUGCUUGUCUUUACAUUCCUUAGCAUUGAGAGGUCUGCUUUUGCUUUUGGCUUUUCCAUGUUAAAAUAUCCCUUACAGAUAGCUGACCUAGAUUAGUUAAAAGAAUUACAGUUAAGCAACUGCAUUCAUUCUAACUUUUUAGUUUCUUCUCCCCACAAUCUGCAGCAUGGUUAAUGCCAGUACAUGAUUGGCAUAUUUUAAGUAAAACUCAGUGCUAUUUGUUGAAAAAAGAUUGCUUUAUAUUUCUAGUUUGAAUAUUGAAUAACAAGGUCAUUGUCUGGUCUUAUUCUCACUAGUCCUUUGCAGGUUUUAAGAUCUAAAAUUCAUUCAAUACAUUUGAAGCUGAAGAAAGCAGGAGUGAAUAGAGGAGAAGAAAAGAAGAAAGCAGGAAUAAUAAAAUAGUUUGUCCUUCCUUUUUUGCUAAUUUUUUCAGCAUAAGUAUGUAAAUUACUGGAUAGUCUAAUCAUAUUCUCUUACACAUUUAGAUAGACAUGGCCAGCGAUCCGGUCCAGGCAGGUUCUGGUUCUAGGGUAAGGGCUAACUGGUUCCGGACAAAAGGAUUCAUUGUUUUGGGUCGAUCAGGUUUUAAUCAAAUUCAAAGUCUGAAUUUUUUUUUUUUUUGAAUUUUUUAAAUGAAAAAACAGGUUUGGAGUGAAACCGGAUCAAACUGAUCGGUUUCAUUCUGGUUUUGAUUCAAUUCAAUGCUAGUUUUGGUCAAUUCAGAUUUGACUGGUUUUGUUUCUGAGUUGGACCAAUCUGGUUCCAAAUUCGAACCUGACUGUGGCCAUGAUUACAUUCAGACAAGUACAUUGUUUCUUGUACCGGGUGAUUAUGCAAACUUUGUGCAAGAAAAUGUAUAUGAACAAGUGUCUACC